GACGAACGCUGGCGGCGUGCCUAACACAUGCAAGUCGAGCGGGGUUGAAGCGAGAGGUAACUCGAACUUCUACCUAGCGGCGGACGGGUGAGUAACGCGUGGGCAACCUGCCUCAAGGUCUGGGAUAACAGCCCGAAAGGGCCGCUAAUACUGGGUAUGCUUGUGGCCUCGCAUGGGGCUAUGAGCAAAGGGGAAACCCGCCUUGAGAUGGGCCCGCGUCCCAUCAGCUAGUUGGUGAGGUAACAGCUCACCAAGGCGACGACGGGUAGCCGGCCUGAGAGGGUGACCGGCCACACUGGGACUGAGACACGGCCCAGACUCCUACGGGGGGCAGCAGUGGGGGAUCUUGCACAAUGGGCGAAAGCCUGAUGCAGCGACGCCGCGUGAGCGAAGAAGGCCUGGUUGUAAAGCUCUGUCUGGAGGGACGGAAGGAAGUGACGGUACCUCCGGAGGAAGCCACGGCUAACUACGUG
Molecule: ribosomal RNA, 473 nt
Filed under: uncultured bacterium
Lineage: Bacteria
Description: bacterial SSU rRNA
Rfam family: Bacterial small subunit ribosomal RNA
Source: RNAcentral